GGUACGCGAGCUGGGUUCAGCAACGUCGUGAGACAGGUUCGGUCCCUAUCCGUCGCGGGCGUAGGAAAUUUGAGAGGAGCUGUCCGUUAGUACGAGAGGACCGGGAUGGACGCACCGCUGGUGUACCAGUUGUCCCGCCAGGGGCACAGCUGGGUAGCUAUGUGCGGAAGGGAUAAGCGCUGAAAGCAUCUAAGCGUGAAGCCCCCCUCAAGAUGAGAUUUCCCAUCGCGUCAAGCGAGUAAGAUCCCUUGAAGAUGACAAGGUAGAUAGGUCCGAGGUGGAAGCGUGGCGACACGUGUAGCUGACGGAUACUAAUCGAUCGAGGACUUAACUAAA
RNAcentral lists this ribosomal RNA (336 nucleotides) under Anoxybacillus sp. KU2-6(11). RNAcentral describes it as "bacterial LSU rRNA". It matches the Rfam family "Bacterial large subunit ribosomal RNA", at positions 2595 to 2925 of the family's 2925-position model. Lineage: Bacteria; Bacillati; Bacillota; Bacilli; Caryophanales; Anoxybacillaceae. The record is from RNAcentral.